RNAcentral lists this transfer RNA (84 nucleotides) under Ruminococcus sp. Its description in RNAcentral is "tRNA-Leu". It matches the Rfam family "tRNA". From Rfam's summary of the family: Transfer RNA (tRNA) molecules are approximately 80 nucleotides in length. The record is from RNAcentral. Lineage: Bacteria; Bacillati; Bacillota; Clostridia; Eubacteriales; Oscillospiraceae. RNAcentral also lists the same sequence under 1 other name.
GCGGGUGUGGCGGAAUUGGCAGACGCGCCAGAUUUAGGUUCUGGUGGUACUCCCGUGCAGGUUCAAGUCCUGUCACCCGCACCA